Molecule: transfer RNA, 90 nt
Filed under: Terriglobia bacterium
Lineage: Bacteria; Pseudomonadati; Acidobacteriota; Terriglobia
Also listed under: 1 other name
Description: tRNA-Ser
Rfam family: tRNA
About the family: Transfer RNA (tRNA) molecules are approximately 80 nucleotides in length. Their secondary structure includes four short double-helical elements and three loops (D, anti-codon, and T loops).
Source: RNAcentral
GGAGAGAUGACCGAGUGGCUGAAGGUGCACGCUUGGAAAGCGUGUGUACGGGUAACCGUACCGUGGGUUCGAAUCCCACUCUCUCCGCCA